RNAcentral lists this non-coding RNA (21 nucleotides) under Caenorhabditis elegans. The record is from RNAcentral. Lineage: Eukaryota; Metazoa; Nematoda; Chromadorea; Rhabditida; Rhabditidae.
UCUGGAUCAGGAACUUCCAAU